CUUGGGCAAUGGGGGAAACCCUGACCCAGCGACGCCGCGUGGGGGAUGAAGGCCUUCGGGUAGUAAACCCCUGUUAGGUGGGACGAAUGUCUUCCGGUAAAUAGCCGGGGGACUUGACGGUACCACCAGAGAAAGCCCCGGCUAACUCCGUGCCAGCAGCCGCGGUAAUACGGAGGGGGCGAGUGUUGUUCGGAAUUACUGGGCGUAAAAGGGCGCGCAGGCGGCUUGGCAAGUCGAGUGUGAAAUCCCUUGGCUUAACUGAGGAAUAGCGCUCGAAACUACCUCGCUGGAGGGCGGGAGAGGGAAGUGGAACUCUCGGUGUAGGGGUGAAAUCUGUAGAUAUCGAGAGGAACACCGGUGGCGAAGGCGGCUUCCUGGCCCGUACCUGACGCUGAGGCGCGAAAGCGUGGGGAGCAAACAGGAUUAGAUACCCUGGUAGUCCACGCCCUAAACGAUGGGCACUAGGUGUGGGCGGUAUUAAUCCCGCCUGUGCCGUAGCUAACGCAUUAAGUGCCCCGCCUGGGGAGUACGGUCGCAAGGCUAG
This 544-nucleotide ribosomal RNA is filed under the name uncultured bacterium. Its description in RNAcentral is "bacterial SSU rRNA". It matches the Rfam family "Bacterial small subunit ribosomal RNA", at positions 363 to 897 of the family's 1533-position model. The record is from RNAcentral.